RNAcentral lists this transfer RNA (88 nucleotides) under Deltaproteobacteria bacterium. RNAcentral describes it as "tRNA-Leu". It matches the Rfam family "tRNA". From Rfam's summary of the family: Transfer RNA (tRNA) molecules are approximately 80 nucleotides in length. Their secondary structure includes four short double-helical elements and three loops (D, anti-codon, and T loops). Lineage: Bacteria; Pseudomonadati; Myxococcota; Myxococcia. The record is from RNAcentral.
GCCGGCGUGGCGGAAUGGCAUACGCAGGGGACUUAAAAUCCUUGGACGCGCAAGCGUCGUGCGGGUUCGAGUCCCGCCGCCGGCACCA